Long non-coding RNA from Pyrus x bretschneideri (Chinese white pear), 1937 nucleotides. RefSeq lists it as uncharacterized. The transcript has 4 exons. The record is from RefSeq and is a predicted model, not a curated record. NCBI's taxonomy places the organism in Eukaryota, Viridiplantae, Streptophyta, Magnoliopsida, Rosales, Rosaceae.
AAAGUUAGAUGCCGAGGAAGGCAAAAACACAACUAACUUGACGAAACACAGAGCCCAACUUAAAACACCACCAUUCGGAAACAGCGGCAGUCGCCAACUAUUCAGGGCAGAGCCAGACGCUGAUACCCCAACCUUUCAUAACACCACCGACUCUCUCGCUCUCUUUCUCUCUCUCCCCCUCUCUCCCCCUCUCUCUCUCUCUCUGUCAAUCUUCUUUUCUUCCUCGAGCCUUUGCAUUUCUCUGGGCGCCAAAACUCAGACCCAGAGUCGGAAUUUAACGAACAGGGAAGCAAAAAGAAGAGGGAUGGCGAAGAAGAAGAAGAAACAUUCUCAGGUUGAUGAACCCACAAAGAACCGAUUACUUAAUGCACUCCAGCGGUUCAACGUUUCAACUGAUGAAGUUUACACAUUCGAGGCCGGUCUCUCGAGCUUUGAACGAGAUUAAGUGCAUGAACAAUGCAGGAGAUGGAGUAUGAAAUCCAAGAUUGAGGGAAAGGGGAACAGCAGUGUAUCUCCGUUACCCACCCUGUCACUCGCUUGACAUUUUCCGAAGGCACAAAAGAAGUAUUAAGUGACUUGUUCAUACGUUACCCACCCUGUGCUCAUGUGGAGGACUUAGAAGUGUCUGGGAAAAGUAGUGAUAAGAAUGAGAGCGCCCAGAUGGAAGAGGGACACAAAGUUUCGCAAGCCCUUGAUGAACAAGGAAGAAAUUGCAAAGAAGUGGCAUCACUUGCUUCUAAAAUAAAGAACAACGUUGACUUGUGAAAGAUUUUUUAAGACAAGUCCAAGCUUCCACUUAUAUCCUACAAGGAUGUCAUUACAUCGACGGUUGAAUCUCAUCAGGAUAAUUUGAAAUUUACAUACUUGGUGCUUUAAAAGUUAUUAGCUAUUUGUAACAAAUAAAAGUUAACAGCUAUGAUCACAUUAAGCACGACAUUAUUUUUACAUUCCCUACUUUAAGUUAAAUAUGUGAUAGUACCUUACCUGAAAAUGAUUGGGUCUGUUACUGUUUACUAGAAUCUCUGUUUUGCCUACGGCAUUUAACCUUCAUUUGACUUGAAUGUAUUUCGUACAUAACUUUUUGGGGCUUAAUGUUUGUUCUAUGUUUGAAAACAGGUAAUUCUUGUAUCUGGUAAGACUGGGUGCGGAAAGACAGCACAGGUUACGAUUUCUUUGCUUUGUGUUCGUUAUGGUAUAUUUAUCACAAUGUGUCCUGAACCUUUGUUUCAAAGGAAUUUCAUUUCAUAUCUUUUUCUUUCUAUUUAGGCCACUCUCACAAAUUUCUCUGCGUCUUAGCAAUGAUAUGCAAUGAAGUGUAUAGUUGUUUUAGAGCUGCAGUUGUUCAUUUACUUUUUAGUAGGAUUUCUGUUGAAAUCACUCGGGGAGUAGCAAGAUUGGAAAAAAAUUGAUAGAUAAGAAAAGCAACUUAGAGCUUGAUAAGUAAGGAUGUUUUACCUAAGAGUUGUUGGUCUAGCAGUCAGGUCCUUGGUUUUGCUCCCAAGUGGUCUGGGGAUCGACCCUCUCCCACGGUACCCACCUAGAAAAUGCUAGAGUUCCUCGCUCCCCAAAUGUUGUGGGCGAGGUAGAGGGCCAAGUGAUUAUUUGGGUUAAAGACUCGGAUACACUAGUUUCAAAAAAGAAAAAAAAAAGAAAAAAAAUUAAGGAUGUUUUACUGUCUUAAGGCAUUUGUGGAGUGCAUGUACUGCCCUUGCAAGAAAACCCUAUUUGGUUGGUAAGCUGCUCAUAUAAUAGUGGGAUUUAUCUUCAGUCAUGAAUUUGGAGGCAGAUUUAUCUGGUUUAGAGCACUUGAGGAACAUGAACACCACUGUUAGCAGGAUACUUAUGAACUUGUAAAUUUAUAUGUGAUGAGAUACUCGUACCACAUAGUUGUGGGUUGAAUGCUUAGACACUCAUGCAUGAUAUCUGACACACAAAAA